This 69-nucleotide non-coding RNA is filed under the name Gilliamella intestini. Lineage: Bacteria; Pseudomonadati; Pseudomonadota; Gammaproteobacteria; Orbales; Orbaceae. The record is from RNAcentral.
AAAAGUAUGACAUUGCUCACAUUGCUUCCAAUGUUUACCAGCUUGACGGUAUCGCUAAGCUGGUUUUUU